AUACGUAGGUGGCAAGCGUUGUCCGGAUUUAUUGGGCGUAAAGCGAGCGCAGGCGGUUUUUUAAGUCUGAUGUGAAAGCCCUUGGCUCAACCAAGGAAGUGCAUCGGAAACUGGAAAACUUGAGUGCAGAAGAGGACAGUGGAACUCCAUGUGUAGCGGUGAAAUGCGUAGAUAUAUGGAAGAACACCAGUGGCGAAGGCGGCUGUCUGGUCUGUAACUGACGCUGAGGAGCGAAAGCAUGGGGAGC
RNAcentral lists this ribosomal RNA (247 nucleotides) under uncultured bacterium. RNAcentral describes it as "partial 16S ribosomal RNA". It matches the Rfam family "Bacterial small subunit ribosomal RNA", at positions 523 to 769 of the family's 1533-position model. The record is from RNAcentral.